Lontra canadensis (Northern American river otter) is the source of this 241-nucleotide long non-coding RNA. RefSeq lists it as uncharacterized. The transcript has 3 exons. The record is from RefSeq and is a predicted model, not a curated record. Lineage: Eukaryota; Metazoa; Chordata; Mammalia; Carnivora; Mustelidae.
UCCAUUUUUCCCCCAGUCAAUUUUUUUCUUUGAUCUAAAGAACUUGCUUCUUUUCUUUGAAGUUGUUCACAAUAGGACAUGAUAGAGGGAGCACAGGUUAUACCAUAAACUCCUUGAAAUAGAGGAAAAGUGAUUUAAUUAACUUUAUAUUCCCAACAUCUGACAAACAUCAGCUACCAUCAAUAAGCAUUUGUGGAAUUAAAGCCACGUAUAUGAUGAAAAGUUAAAAUUAAAAACAAAA